Molecule: ribosomal RNA, 835 nt
Filed under: uncultured bacterium
Lineage: Bacteria
Description: bacterial SSU rRNA
Rfam family: Bacterial small subunit ribosomal RNA
Source: RNAcentral
GGUUUUGCAGUGGGUACGGGCUAACUAGAGUGCAGUAGGGGAGACUGGAAUUCCUGGUGUAGCGGUGGAAUGCGCAGAUAUCAGGAGGAACACCGAUGGCGAAGGCAGGUCUCUGGGCUGUAACUGACGCUGAGAAGCGAAAGCAUGGGGAGCGAACAGGAUUAGAUACCCUGGUAGUCCAUGCCGUAAACGUUGGGCACUAGGUGUGGGGGACAUUCCACGUUUUCCGCGCCGUAGCUAACGCAUUAAGUGCCCCGCCUGGAGAGUACGGCCGCAAGGCUAAAACUCAAAGAAAUUGACGGGGGCCCGCACAAGCGGCGGAGCAUGCGGAUUAAUUCGAUGCAACGCGAAGAACCUUACCAAGGCUUGACAUAUACUGGACUGCGUCAGAGAUGGCGUUUCCCUUCGGGGCUGGUAUACAGGUGGUGCAUGGUUGUCGUCAGCUCGUGUCGUGAGAUGUUGGGUUAAGUCCCGCAACGAGCGCAACCCUCGUUCUAUGUUGCCAGCACGUGAUGGUGGGGACUCAUAGGAGACUGCCGGGGUCAACUCGGAGGAAGGUGGGGAUGACGUCAAAUCAUCAUGCCCCUUAUGUCUUGGGCUUCACGCAUGCUACAAUGGCCGGUACAGAGGGUUGCGAUACUGUGAGGUGGAGCUAAUCCCUAAAAGCCGGUCUCAGUUCGGAUUGGGGUCUGCAACUCGACCCCAUGAAGUCGGAGUCGCUAGUAAUCGCAGAUCAGCAACGCUGCGGUGAAUACGUUCCCGGGCCUUGUACACACCGCCCGUCAAGUCACGAAAGUUGGUAAUACCCGAAGCNGGUGGCCUAACCCUGGUGGGG